GGGCACGUAGCUCAGUCCGGAUAGAGCGUCGGACUUCUAAUCCGACGGUCGCGGGUUCGAAUCCCGUCGUGCCCG
Molecule: transfer RNA, 75 nt
Filed under: Halococcus sp. IIIV-5B
Lineage: Archaea; Methanobacteriati; Methanobacteriota; Halobacteria; Halobacteriales; Halococcaceae
Description: tRNA-Arg
Rfam family: tRNA
About the family: Transfer RNA (tRNA) molecules are approximately 80 nucleotides in length. Their secondary structure includes four short double-helical elements and three loops (D, anti-codon, and T loops).
Source: RNAcentral